This 994-nucleotide ribosomal RNA is filed under the name Salmonella enterica subsp. enterica serovar Kentucky. RNAcentral's name for it is "partial 23S ribosomal RNA". It matches the Rfam family "Bacterial large subunit ribosomal RNA", at positions 621 to 1618 of the family's 2925-position model. Lineage: Bacteria; Pseudomonadati; Pseudomonadota; Gammaproteobacteria; Enterobacterales; Enterobacteriaceae. The record is from RNAcentral.
CAGCGACUUAUAUUCUGUAGCAAGGUUAACCGUAUAGGGGAGCCGAAGGGAAACCGAGUCUUAACUGGGCGUUAAGUUGCAGGGUAUAGACCCGAAACCCGGUGAUCUAGCCAUGGGCAGGUUGAAGGUUGGGUAACACUAACUGGAGGACCGAACCGACUAAUGUUGAAAAAUUAGCGGAUGACUUGUGGCUGGGGGUGAAAGGCCAAUCAAACCGGGAGAUAGCUGGUUCUCCCCGAAAGCUAUUUAGGUAGCGCCUCGUGAACUCAUCUUCGGGGGUAGAGCACUGUUUCGGCUAGGGGGUCAUCCCGACUUACCAACCCGAUGCAAACUGCGAAUACCGAAGAAUGUUAUCACGGGAGACACACGGCGGGUGCUAACGUCCGUCGUGAAGAGGGAAACAACCCAGACCGCCAGCUAAGGUCCCAAAGUCACAGUUAAGUGGGAAACGAUGUGGGAAGGCUCAGACAGCCAGGAUGUUGGCUUAGAAGCAGCCAUCAUUUAAAGAAAGCGUAAUAGCUCACUGGUCGAGUCGGCCUGCGCGGAAGAUGUAACGGGGCUAAACUGUGCACCGAAGCUGCGGCAGCGACGCUUAUGCGUUGUUGGGUAGGGGAGCGUUCUGUAAGCCUGCGAAGGUGUCCUGUGAGGGAUGCUGGAGGUAUCAGAAGUGCGAAUGCUGACAUAAGUAACGAUAAUGCGGGUGAAAAGCCCGCUCGCCGGAAGACCAAGGGUUCCUGUCCAACGUUAAUCGGGGCAGGGUGAGUCGACCCCUAAGGCGAGGCCGAAAGGCGUAGUCGAUGGGAAACGGGUUAAUAUUCCCGUACUUGGUGUUACUGCGAAGGGGGGACGGAGAAGGCUAUGUUGGCCGGGCGACGGUUGUCCCGGUUUAAGCGUGUAGGCUGGUUUUCCAGGCAAAUCCGGAAAAUCAAGGCUGAGGCGUGAUGACGAGGCACUACGGUGCUGAAGCAACAAAUGCCCUGCUUCCAGGAAAAGC